RNAcentral lists this ribosomal RNA (254 nucleotides) under uncultured bacterium. Its description in RNAcentral is "partial 16S ribosomal RNA". It matches the Rfam family "Bacterial small subunit ribosomal RNA", at positions 524 to 776 of the family's 1533-position model. The record is from RNAcentral.
UACGUAGGGGGCAAGCGUUGUCCGGAAUCAUUGGGCGUAAAGCGCGCGUAGGCGGCCCGGUAAGUCCGUUGUGAAAGUCAAAGGCUCAACCUUUGAAUGCCGACGGAUACUGCCGGGCUAGAGUCCGGAAGAGGCGAGUGGAAUUCCUGGUGUAGCGGUGGAAUGCGCAGAUAUCAGGAGGAACACCUAUAGCGAAGGCAGCUCGCUGGGACGGUACUGACGCUGAGGCGCGAAAAGCGUGGGGAGCGAACAGG